RNAcentral lists this ribosomal RNA (466 nucleotides) under uncultured bacterium. RNAcentral describes it as "partial 16S ribosomal RNA". It matches the Rfam family "Bacterial small subunit ribosomal RNA", at positions 28 to 507 of the family's 1533-position model. The record is from RNAcentral.
GAUGAACGCUGGCGGCGUGCUUAACACAUGCAAGUCGAACGGAAAGGCUCCUGCUUGCAGGGGUACUCGAGUGGCGAACGGGUGAGUAACACGUGGGUGAUCUGCCCUGCACUUCGGGAUAAGCCUGGGAAACUGGGUCUAAUACCGGAUAGGACCAUCGUUUAGUGUCGGUGGUGGAAAGAUUUUUCGGUGUGGGAUGAGCUCGCGGCCUAUCAGCUUGUUGGUGGGGUAAUGGCCUACCAAGGCGUCGACGGGUAGCCGGCCUGAGAGGGUGUACGGCCACAUUGGGACUGAGAUACGGCCCAGACUCCUACGGGAGGCAGCAGUGGGGAAUAUUGCACAAUGGGCGCAAGCCUGAUGCAGCGACGCCGCGUGGGGGAUGACGGCCUUCGGGUUGUAAACUCCUUUCGCCAGGGACGAAGCGAAAGUGACGGUACCGGGAUAAGAAGCACCGGCUAACUACGUG